GAUGAACGCUGGCGGCGUGCCUAAUACAUGCAAGUCGAGCGAACAGAUAAGGAGCUUGCUCCUUUGACGUUAGCGGCGGACGGGUGAGUAACACGUGGGUAACCUAUCUAUAAGACUGGAAUAACUCCGGGAAACCGGGGCUAAUGCCGGAUAACAUGUUGAACCGCAUGGUUCUACAGUGAAAGGCGGCUUUGCUGUCACUUAUAGAUGGACCCGCGCCGUAUUAGCUAGUUGGUGAGGUAACGGCUCACCAAGGCAACGAUACGUAGCCGACCUGAGAGGGUGAUCGGCCACACUGGAACUGGGACACGGUCCAGACUCCUACGGGAGGCAGCAGUAGGGAAUCUUCCGCAAUGGGCGAAAGCCUGACGGAGCAACGCCGCGUGAGUGAUGAAGGUCUUCGGAUCGUAAAACUCUGUUAUUAGGGAAGAACAAAUGCGUAAGUAACUGUGCGCGUCUUGACGGUACCUAAUCAGAAAGCCACGGCUAACUACGUG
RNAcentral lists this ribosomal RNA (497 nucleotides) under uncultured bacterium. RNAcentral describes it as "partial 16S ribosomal RNA". It matches the Rfam family "Bacterial small subunit ribosomal RNA", at positions 28 to 507 of the family's 1533-position model. The record is from RNAcentral.